This is a long non-coding RNA of Chelonia mydas (Green sea turtle), 275 nucleotides long. RefSeq lists it as uncharacterized. The transcript has 3 exons. The record is from RefSeq and is a predicted model, not a curated record. NCBI's taxonomy places the organism in Eukaryota, Metazoa, Chordata, Testudines, Cheloniidae.
UAAUAGAUUGGGUGUUCUUUCUAUUUGCCUUCUGCUUUUUGAGCCUUUCGGGUGUCCUGGGGUCACAUUUCAAAGCUUUCUCCACAGCCACAAGGCCAAGAAACUUUAUUUUUCUUUAAGAAGGAAGGCUGAAAUCACCACAUAUCACUUGACACCAGGAGCUGGGGCUUUAAGGAAAAGCAAUCCUCAUCAUGAGACUCAUGACAAAACCACGAGAGUUGGCAACAUGCUUUCCCUUCUGUUUAAAGGCAAGUUACUCCCCCGAAGGCUCCGAA